UGGGGCGCUUACCAUGCAGUCGCACGAAGGUUUCGGCCUUAGUGGCGGACGGGUGAGUAACGCGUAGGAAUCUAUCCAUGGGUGGGGGAUAACUCUGGGAAACUGGAGCUAAUACCGCAUGAUACCUGAGGGUCAAAGGCGUAAGUCGCCUGUGGAGGAGCCUGCGUUCGAUUAGCUUGUUGGUGGGGUAAUGGCCUACCAAGGCGAUGAUCGAUAGCUGGUCUGAGAGGAUGAUCAGCCACACUGGGACUGAGACACGGCCCAGACUCCUACGGGAGGCAGCAGUGGGGAAUAUUGGACAAUGGGGGCAACCCUGAUCCAGCAAUGCCGCGUGUGUGAAGAAGGUUUUCGGAUUGUAAAGCACUUUCGGCGGGGACGAUGAUGACGGUACCCGCAGAAGAAGCCCCGGCUAACUUCGUGCCAGCAGCCGCGGUAAUACGAAGGGGGCUAGCGUUGCUCGGAAUGACUGGGCGUAAAGGGCGUGUAGGCGGUUUGUACAGUCAGAUGUGAAAUCCCCGGGCUUAACCUGGGAGCUGCAUUUGAUACGUGCAGACUAGAGUGUGAGAGAGGGUUGUGGAAUUCCCAGUGUAGAGGUGAAAUUCGUAGAUAUUGGGGAAGAACACCGGUGGCGAAGGCGGCAACCUGGCUCAUGACUGACGCUGAGGCGCGAAAGCGUGGGGAGCAAACAGGAUUAGAUACCCUGGUAGUCCACGCUGUAAACGAUGUGUGCUGGAUGUUGGGCAACUUAGUUGUUCAGUGUCGUAGCUAACGCGAUAAGCACACCGCCCUGGGGGAGUACGGCCGCAAGGUUUGAAACUCAAAGGAAAUUGACGGGGGGGCCCCGCCACAAGCGGUGGAGGCAUGUGGAUUUAAUUCGAAAGCAACGCGCAGAACCUUACCAGGCUUGUAUGUUGUAGCUGUGUCCAGAGUAUGGGCAUUUCCCGCAAGGAACUUACAGCACAGUGCUGCAUGUCUGUCGUUCAGCUUCGUGUUCGGUGGAGAAAAU
This 1006-nucleotide ribosomal RNA is filed under the name Acetobacter tropicalis. Its description in RNAcentral is "bacterial SSU rRNA". It matches the Rfam family "Bacterial small subunit ribosomal RNA", at positions 40 to 1084 of the family's 1533-position model. Lineage: Bacteria; Pseudomonadati; Pseudomonadota; Alphaproteobacteria; Acetobacterales; Acetobacteraceae. The record is from RNAcentral.